GACGGGGGAUGCAAGUGUUAUCCGGAAUCACUGGGCGUAAAGCGUCUGCAGGUGGUUUCCUAAGUCCACUGUUAAACCUUGAGGCUCAACCUCAAAUCUGCAUUGGAAACUAGGAGACUUGAGUAUAGUAGGGGUAGAGGGAAUUUCCAGUGGAGCGGUGAAAUGCGCAGAUAUCAGGAGGAACACCGGUGGCGAAGGCGGUUCUCUGGGCCUGUACUGACGCUGAGGAACGAAAGCGUGGGGAGCGAACAGG
This 253-nucleotide ribosomal RNA is filed under the name uncultured bacterium. RNAcentral's name for it is "partial 16S ribosomal RNA". It matches the Rfam family "Bacterial small subunit ribosomal RNA", at positions 524 to 776 of the family's 1533-position model. The record is from RNAcentral.